GGGUGGAGAAUGGGAUCACCCCCCAAAGAAAUGAUGAGCUCAUUAGAUUUAAGGGCUUAUAAGUUGUUCAAAGAUUGCUUCAGUUUCAUUCUAGAGCCUUUGGAUGACAGGUAAGGCCAUUUAAGCCGCACCCAGGGUACUAAGCAGUGUAACCUGUGGAAUGGAGUGUGUCUAGGCCAGUCUUGCCCUCGGGGAGUCUAAGUCUAGGAACCUGUGUGUCCUGAACCCAGAAUUGGCCCUGGACAUACAAGGAUCAGGUAAGGUUGCCUGAAAAAAGGGGGCCAGUGAUUAUGUAU
This 296-nucleotide long non-coding RNA is filed under the name Bos taurus (domestic cattle). RNAcentral's name for it is "long non-coding RNA NONBTAT016971". Lineage: Eukaryota; Metazoa; Chordata; Mammalia; Artiodactyla; Bovidae. The record is from RNAcentral.